This 319-nucleotide ribosomal RNA is filed under the name uncultured Chloroflexota bacterium. RNAcentral describes it as "bacterial SSU rRNA". It matches the Rfam family "Bacterial small subunit ribosomal RNA", at positions 28 to 351 of the family's 1533-position model. Lineage: Bacteria; Bacillati; Chloroflexota. The record is from RNAcentral.
GAUAAACGCUGGCGGCGUGCAUGAGACAUGCAAGUCGAACGGGCUUCUCGGGCUUGCUCGAGAGGCUAGUGGCGGACGGCUGAGUAACGCGUGGGUGACCUACCCGAAGUGGGAAUAACUGCCCGAAAGGUGGCUAAUACCGCAUACGAUCAGUCAUUCAUUUGAUUGAUCAAAGCAGCAAUGCGCUUUGGGAGGGGCCUGCGUCCGAUUAGCUCGUUGGUGGGGUAAUGGCUCACCAAGGCGACGAUCGGUAGGUGGUCUGAGAGGACGAUCACCCAGACUGGGACUGAGACACGGCCCAGACUCCUACGGGUGGCAG